CCUACGGGAGGCAGCAGUGAGGAAUAUUGGUCAAUGGACGAGAGUCUGAACCAGCCAAGUAGCGUGAAGGAUGACUGCCCUAUGGGUUGUAAACUUCUUUUAUAUGGGAAUAAAAUGUUCCACGUGUGGGAUUUUGUAUGUACCAUAUGAAUAAGGAUCGGCUAACUCCGUGCCAGCAGCCGCGGUAAUACGGAGGAUCCGAGCGUUAUCCGGAUUUAUUGGGUUUAAAGGGAGCGUAGGUGGAGUGUUAAGUUAGUUGUGAAAGUUUGCGGCUCAACCGUAAAAUUGCAGUUGAAACUGGCAGUCUUGAGUACAGUAGAGGUGGGCGGAAUUCGUGGUGUAGCGGUGAAAUGCUUAGAUAUCACGAAGAACUCCGAUUGCGAAGGCAGUUCACUGGACUGCAACUGACACUGAGGCUCGAAAGUGUGGGUAUCAAACAGGAUUAGAUACCCGUGUAGUC
This 460-nucleotide ribosomal RNA is filed under the name uncultured bacterium. RNAcentral's name for it is "partial 16S ribosomal RNA". It matches the Rfam family "Bacterial small subunit ribosomal RNA", at positions 338 to 795 of the family's 1533-position model. The record is from RNAcentral.